This 253-nucleotide ribosomal RNA is filed under the name uncultured bacterium. RNAcentral describes it as "partial 16S ribosomal RNA". It matches the Rfam family "Bacterial small subunit ribosomal RNA", at positions 524 to 776 of the family's 1533-position model. The record is from RNAcentral.
GACGUAGGGCGCGAGCGUUGUCCGGAUUUAUUGGGCGUAAAGAGCGUGUAGGCGGCUUGACAGGUCUGCUGUGAAAACUCGAGGCUCAACCUCGAGAUGUCGGCGGAAACCGUCUGGCUAGAGUCCGGAAGAGGAGAGUGGAAUUCCUGGUGUAGCGGUGAAAUGCGCAGAUAUCAGGAAGAACACCUAUGGCGAAGGCAGCUCUCUGGGACGGUACUGACGCUGAGACGCGAAAGUGUGGGGAGCGAACAGG